UGGGGAAUCUUAGACAAUGGGGGAAACCCUGAUCUAGCCAUGCCGCGUGAUCGAUGAAGGCCUUAGGGUUGUAAAGAUCUUUCAGUGGGGAAGAUAAUGACUGUACCCACAGAAGAAGCCCCGGCUAACUCCGUGCCAGCAGCCGCGGUAAUACGGAGGGGGCUAGCGUUGUUCGGAAUUACUGGGCGUAAAGCGCACGUAGGCGGAACAGAAAGUCAGAGGUGAAAUCCCAGGGCUCAACCUUGGAACUGCCUUUGAAACUCCUGUUCUUGAGGUCGAGAGAGGUGAGUGGAAUUCCGAGUGUAGAGGUGAAAUUCGUAGAUAUUCGGAGGAACACCAGUGGCGAAGGCGGCUCACUGGCUCGAUACUGACGCUGAGGUGCGAAAGCGUGGGGAGCAAACAGG
This 404-nucleotide ribosomal RNA is filed under the name Pseudomonas sp. Its description in RNAcentral is "partial 16S ribosomal RNA". It matches the Rfam family "Bacterial small subunit ribosomal RNA", at positions 355 to 776 of the family's 1533-position model. The record is from RNAcentral. Lineage: Bacteria; Pseudomonadati; Pseudomonadota; Gammaproteobacteria; Pseudomonadales; Pseudomonadaceae. RNAcentral also lists the same sequence under 4 other names.